AAGGCGGUCUCCAGUAUAUAAGGAAUCCAAGUGGUUUAAAAAGGAUGUAAGCAGUAGGUAGCCUCCUUAACGCGUUUCUCCGUGUAUAAGGUGAUACGGUUUCAUGAUGAAACCGUAUCACCUUAUACACUGAGAAAAGCUGGCUUAUAUACUGGAGACCGCCUUCACAUCUUCUUACAGUGACCCGGAGCAGCGCCUGGUUCCCCCUCCCCGAGGACAUCAAGAUACUGCCGCGCUACAUAUGCGCACCACCGGACAACAUUACAUCAGCCGGCCUCGCAGCAGCGGCAACGGUGAGAGAUCAGCUGGCGGUGGGGAGGGACACCUGGAGAGCGCUGGGUCCUCAGAUUUAAUAACAUUACCUGAGGCAGUUGGCGGCUUCUCCAUUGGAUGCACGGUCGCUACGUGCACUUAAACAUUCUAGUUUACACCAUCAGCAGUCCCCUAGGAGUUACAAAAAUAGCACUAUACUGUGCUUAAUUAUUCCAUGCUUGGAGCUCCAGGACAGUCAUUUGUGGACUCAUUCAUUGCACUGUGCAGAUGUGGGAAGGGUCCUAGUGCUUUCAGCAGAAUUCUGUUUAUUCCUCGGGGUGGAGGCUCGCAGGUUCUUUGUGGGGAUGAUUCCUUAGUGAAUAGACGGGACGCGCCGGGCGGUUUGUUGAUCGGUUGUCCGGCAACAGUGAUGUCAUCUUCUGCAGCCGGAAGUUAGUGCCGCCGGAGACGUCCCGCGCGCCACGCCCUCCUGGUCCACUUGGUGUGCAUGUGUAAAGUAUUUAAAGCCAAAACUCUGGAGUAAAAAGUCUACAUUUUCGGCACAUCUCUGAUCAAAACGCCCAAAACCUGGAUCUCCUAUAUGGUAAUUAAGGUACGAUUACGGUUUUCUGUCCACAGUUUGAUGUGAUUUAGUGGAAAGCUGCUGUUUUCAAUAUAAUUGAUAUCCCAUGUGGUGAAAUCGAGUUCGAUAUCACUUUUUAAGUGUUUUUAUUUGCCUUUUGAAGACACGCUAAGUUGCUUGUUCAUACUGUGAUUUUUUGAGUAUAAAUAAAAUACCCCUGAUGAAGUCUGUAGGACGAAACGCGUUGGGUUAAGACAGCGAUUUUGUCAUUUCUUCAAGGAGGAUUAAUCAUCAUGUCGAUAUGUGACUGAAAUGAAUUGUUACCAACAUCAAUAUCUGUAUGAAACAUUGACUGUCAUUUUGGACAUACUGUGAUACAGCUCAUUUUU
Long non-coding RNA from Pseudophryne corroboree (corroboree frog), 1224 nucleotides. RefSeq lists it as uncharacterized. Lineage: Eukaryota; Metazoa; Chordata; Amphibia; Anura; Myobatrachidae. The transcript has 7 exons. The record is from RefSeq and is a predicted model, not a curated record.